CCUANGGGGGGCAGCAGUCGCGAAAACUUUGCAAUACACGAAAGUGUGACAGGGCUAUCCCGAGUGCCAUCCGCUGAGGAAGGCUUUUACCCAGUCUAGAACGCUGGGGGAAUAAGGAGAGGGCAAGUCUGGUGUCAGCCGCCGCGGUAAUACCAGCUCUCCGAGUGGUGUGGAUGUUUAUUGGGCCUAAAGCAUCCGUAGCUGGCUGAGUUAGUCCCUUGUUAAAUCCACCGAAUUAAUCGUUGGAUUGCGGGGGAUACUGCUCGGCUAGGGGACGAGAGAGGCAGACGGUAUUUCUGGGGUAGGGGUGAAAUCCUAUAAUCCCAGGAGGACCACCAGUGGCGAAGGCUGUCUGCUAGAACGCGCCCGACGGUGAGGGAUGAAAGCUGGGGGAGCGAACCGGAUUAGAUACCCUANUANUC
RNAcentral lists this ribosomal RNA (422 nucleotides) under uncultured bacterium. RNAcentral describes it as "bacterial SSU rRNA". It matches the Rfam family "Archaeal small subunit ribosomal RNA", at positions 322 to 746 of the family's 1478-position model. The record is from RNAcentral.